This 459-nucleotide ribosomal RNA is filed under the name uncultured bacterium. Its description in RNAcentral is "partial 16S ribosomal RNA". It matches the Rfam family "Bacterial small subunit ribosomal RNA", at positions 338 to 795 of the family's 1533-position model. The record is from RNAcentral.
CCUACGGGGUGCUGCAGUGAGGAAUAUUGGUCAAUGGCCGCAGGGCUGAACCAGCCAAGUCGCGUGAGGGAUGACGGUCCUAUGGAUUGUAAACCUCUUUUGUCAGGGAGCAAAGGGCGCCACGUGUGGCGCUUUGCGAGUACCUGAAGAAAAAGCAUCGGCUAACUCCGUGCCAGCAGCCGCGGUAAUACGGUGGAUGCGAGCGUUAUCCGGAUUUAUUGGGUUUAAAGGGUGCGCAGGCGGAAUGUCAAGUCAGCGGUAAAAUUUCGGGGCUCAACCCCGUCGUGCCGUUGAAACUGGCGUUCUUGAGUGAGCGAGAAGUAUGCGGAAUGCGUGGUGUAGCGGUGAAAUGCAUAGAUAUCACGCAGAACUCCGAUUGCGAAGGCAGCAUACCGGCGCUCAACUGACGCUCAUGCACGAAAGCGUGGGUAUCGAACAGGAUUAGAUACCCGGGUAGUC